GACGAACGCUGGCGGCGUGCUUAACACAUGCAAGUCGAACGGAAAGGCCCUGCUUUUGUGGGGUGCUCGAGUGGCGAACGGGUGAGUAACACGUGAGUAACCUGCCCUUGACUUUGGGAUAACUUCAGGAAACUGGGGCUAAUACCGGAUAGGAGCUCCUGCUGCAUGGUGGUGGUUGGAAAGUUUCGGCGGUUGGGGAUGGACUCGCGGCUUAUCAGCUUGUUGGUGGGGUAGUGGCUUACCAAGGCUUUGACGGGUAGCCGGCCUGAGAGGGUGACCGGCCACAUUGGGACUGAGAUACGGCCCAGACUCGUACGGGAGGCAGCAGUGGGGAAUAUUGCACAAUGGGCGGACGCCUGAUGCAGCAACGCCGCGUGCGGGAUGACGGCCUUCGGGUUGUAAACCGCUUUCGCCUGUGACGAAGCGUGAGUGACGGUAAUGGGUAAAGAAGCACCGGCUAACUACGUG
Molecule: ribosomal RNA, 468 nt
Filed under: uncultured bacterium
Lineage: Bacteria
Description: partial 16S ribosomal RNA
Rfam family: Bacterial small subunit ribosomal RNA
Source: RNAcentral